This 519-nucleotide ribosomal RNA is filed under the name uncultured bacterium. RNAcentral describes it as "partial 16S ribosomal RNA". It matches the Rfam family "Bacterial small subunit ribosomal RNA", at positions 28 to 507 of the family's 1533-position model. The record is from RNAcentral.
GACGAACGCUGGCGGCGUGCCUAAUACAUGCAAGUCGAGCGAGUCUGCCUUGAAGAUCGGAGUGCUUGCACUCUGUGAAACAAGAUACAGGCUAGCGGCGGACGGGUGAGUAACACGUGGGUAACCUGCCCAAGAGAUCGGGAUAACACCUGGAAACAGAUGCUAAUACCGGAUAACAACAGAUGAUGCCUAUCAACUGUUUAAAAGAUGGUUCUGCUAUCACUCUUGGAUGGACCUGCGGUGCAUUAGCUAGUUGGUAGGGUAACGGCCUACCAAGGCGAUGAUGCAUAGCCGAGUUGAGAGACUGAUCGGCCACAUUGGGACUGAGACACGGCCCAAACUCCUACGGGAGGCAGCAGUAGGGAAUCUUCCACAAUGGACGCAAGUCUGAUGGAGCAACGCCGCGUGAGCGAAGAAGGGUUUCGGCUCGUAAAGCUCUGUUGUUGGUGAAGAAGGACAGGGGUAGUAACUGACCUUUGUUUGACGGUAAUCAAUUAGAAAGUCACGGCUAACUACGUG